UAAUGAACUGGUGGAUAUUUAUUCCUUUGGGAUGUGUGUGUUAGAAAUGCUCACUUCUGAUUACCCAUACAGUGAGUGCUCGAAUCCUGCCCAAAUAUACAAGAAAGUGACUUCGGGAAAGUUGCCAGAGGCUUUCUACAGGAUUAAAGAUGUUGAAGCCCAGAAAUUUGUGGGGAAAUGUUUGGAGACUGCUUCAAAGAGAUUGCCUGCGCGGGAGCUCUUGUUGGACCCUUUUCUUGCAUCUGAUGAACCCAAAUUGCUGCCCGUCCCAAAAAUCCCAUUUCAAAUGUCUUCUCCUAAUGGAACAGAGGAGAUCAAUCCAUCUUUGUUGGCUGAUCCAACCAAGGCCACAGAUAUGACAAUUACAGGAACUAUGAAUCCUGAAGAUGACACAAUUUUCCUCAAAGUGCAAAUUUCUGACAACGAUGGUAUGCAAAUGCUCAUUGACAUUACAGGAUUGAAUCAAAUUUGCAAAAGUUUUAAGCACCUACUGACAAUUCAUCAAACCAUGUUUUGAUUGGUACAAUUUUUCUUUAAUUGAUCUAAUUUUGCUAAACUUAGGUCGCACAAGGAACAUAUACUUUCCCUUUGACACCAUGAACGACACUGCAAUUGACGUUGCAUUAGAGAUGGUGAAAGAAUUGGAGAUCACUGACUGGGAACCAAUGGAGAUUGCUAAAAUGAUAGAGGAGCAAAUAACAUCUUUAAUUCCAAGCUGGAAACAGUGGGUCUUCUCCCAAGUCUAUCAGCAGCACAGCUUUAACUAUGAUGAUGGUGAUGGUGAUGGUGAUGAUGAUGAUGAAGAGGACGGAACCAGUCAUCCUUUCCACUCCAUCUCCUCGCGUUCUUCUUCC
This 854-nucleotide unclassified non-coding RNA is filed under the name Hevea brasiliensis (rubber tree). Lineage: Eukaryota; Viridiplantae; Streptophyta; Magnoliopsida; Malpighiales; Euphorbiaceae. The record is from RNAcentral.